Molecule: ribosomal RNA, 451 nt
Filed under: uncultured Methanolinea sp.
Lineage: Archaea; Methanobacteriati; Methanobacteriota; Methanomicrobia; Methanomicrobiales; Methanoregulaceae
Description: bacterial SSU rRNA
Rfam family: Archaeal small subunit ribosomal RNA
Source: RNAcentral
UGGAGCCUGCGGUUUAAUUGGACUCAACGCCGGGCAGCUCACCGGAUAAGACAGCUGGAUGAUAGCCGGGCUGAAGACUCUGCUUGACUAGCUGAGAGGAGGUGCAUGGCCGUCGUCAGUUCGUACUGUGAAGCAUCCUGUUAAGUCAGGCAACGAGCGAGACCCACGCCAACAGUUGCCAGCAUGUCCUCCGGGAUGAUGGGGACACUGUUGGGACCGCCUCUGCUAAAGAGGAGGAAGGAAUGGGGCAACGGUAGGUCAGCAUGCCCCGAAUUAUCCGGGCUACACGCGGGCUACAAUGGUCAGGACAAUGGGUAUCAACACCGAAAGGUGAAGGCAAUCUCCUAAACCUGUCCUUAGUUCGGAUUGUGGGCUGCAACUCGCCCACAUGAAGCUGGAAUCUGUAGUAAUCGCGUCUCAACAUGGCGCGGUGAAUAUGUCCCUGCUCCUU